AGAACGAACGCUGGCGGCAUGCCUAACACAUGCAAGUCGAACGAGACCUUCGGGUCUAGUGGCGCACGGGUGCGUAACGCGUGGGAAUCUGCCCUUGGGUUCGGAAUAACAGUUGGAAACGACUGCUAAUACCGGAUGAUGACGUAAGUCCAAAGAUUUAUCGCCCAGGGAUGAGCCCGCGUAGGAUUAGCUAGUUGGUGAGGUAAAGGCUCACCAAGGCGACGAUCCUUAGCUGGUCUGAGAGGAUGAUCAGCCACACUGGGACUGAGACACGGCCCAGACUCCUACGGGAGGCAGCAGUGGGGAAUAUUGGACAAUGGGCGAAAGCCUGAUCCAGCAAUGCCGCGUGAGUGAUGAAGGCCUUAGGUUGUAAAGCUCUUUACCCGGGAUGAUAAUGACAGUACCGGAGAAUAAGCUCCGGCUAACUCCGUGUCAGCAGCCGC
Molecule: ribosomal RNA, 443 nt
Filed under: uncultured soil bacterium
Lineage: Bacteria
Description: bacterial SSU rRNA
Rfam family: Bacterial small subunit ribosomal RNA
Source: RNAcentral